RNAcentral lists this ribosomal RNA (346 nucleotides) under uncultured bacterium. Its description in RNAcentral is "bacterial SSU rRNA". It matches the Rfam family "Bacterial small subunit ribosomal RNA", at positions 8 to 334 of the family's 1533-position model. The record is from RNAcentral.
AGAGUUUGAUCAUGGCUCAGGAUGAACGCUGGCGGCGUGCCUAACACAUGCAAGUCGAACGGAGUUAUUUUGGAAAGUUCCUUCGGGGACUGGAAUCUAUAACUUAGUGGCGGACGGGUGAGUAACGCGUGAGCAAUCUGCCUUUAGGAGGGGGAUAACAGUCGGAAACGGCUGCUAAUACCGCAUAAUACGUUUGGGAGGCAUCUCUUAAACGUCAAAGAUUUUAUCGCCUUUAGAUGAGCUCGCGUCUGAUUAGCUAGUUGGCGGGGUAACGGCCCACCAAGGCGACGAUCAGUAGCCGGACUGAGAGGUUGAACGGCCACAUUGGGACUGAGACACGGCCCAG